UCAAUACUCCCUCCGUCCGAAAAUACUUGUCAUCAAAAUGGACAAAAAAAGAUAUAUCUCAAACUAAAAUAUGUCUAGAUACAUCCCCUUUUAUCCAUUUUGAUGACAAGUAUUUCCGGACGGAGGGAGUAUAUG
Molecule: non-coding RNA, 135 nt
Organism: Triticum aestivum (bread wheat)
Lineage: Eukaryota; Viridiplantae; Streptophyta; Magnoliopsida; Poales; Poaceae
Source: Rfam